AUGCACCUUUUCCAAUUCCCUGUUAUCACAGGAUUGCAAAAGGACAGCUUCCCACCGUGUCAGCCUUUGAAAUGUCCUGGUUUUCUCCUCAUCUCGUUCCCCGGCUGUAGGCUGUAUUUCUUUACUCACAGAGCUGGCAAACCGCCCCCACCUUCUAGUUGCCCUCCAAACCCAGCACACUGCGCACUCCUAGGUACUGCCCAGGGUGCCUGUUGGAAGCCUCCCCCUGUCCCCGCGGGCCACCCUGCGGCCCCUCCAGCUGUGCCUGCCCGCACCGCCCUUGGCCACGCGUCCCCGCGGGUCACACGGGUCACACGCAGGCUGCGGGCCUCGUGGGUCCGCCCCGCGCCUCCGCCAUCCGGCUGGAGACAGGGGUCCCCGUGCGUCGGGGUCGGAGCGGGCCCCGCGGAGGGUGCGGGAGGCGCCAGGGAGCCGUGCGCGGCAGCCUGGGAGCCCGUGGGGGCGGAGGGGACAGGAGGGGACCGUGGAGAGGGCACGGAGGGGGCCGGAGGGGGCCCGGAGGGGACAGGAGGGGACCGUGGAGAGGGCACAGAGGGAGCACCGAGGGCGCCCGGAGGGGACCCUGGAGAGGAGGAGGCAGGGGGUGGGGAUGAAGGGGGCCUGGGAGGGGACGGAGGUGGCCGAGGGGAUGGGCGAGGUGAGGGAAGCGCAGCCCAGGCUGGAGCGAGCCGACCGCGCCCUCCGGGUGGCGCCAGCCGGGGCGCUGGGCUGGGUGCGUCCCCCCCCCACCCCCGCCCCGCCCCGCCCCGCCCCGCCCCGCCGCGCCCCGAAGACGCCAGGCAGCCCGGGUCACGGUUAAGGCGCUUCGCCCAUCAGAGAGGUGACAGGCGCUCGGGAGAGAGCCGCAUCCCCCACCCCACAUCCCCCCUGCAUCCCCCCACCCCCACCCCGCGCGCAUCCGCCUGGGGCGACAGGAGGGGCGCGGUGCCACGGACCCCACCCACGCAGACACCCCUCUCUAACCCAAGGGAGGCCCGCUCUCGUCGCCUCCCCCAAACAGCAACUGCGACUAAACCCAAGGACUUGCAGAAAAAAUUCAAUUUAGGAACAGAUUUCCGGUCGCUAAGAUAUGAUUGGAUCCAAGCACAAUAG
Molecule: long non-coding RNA, 1113 nt
Filed under: Canis lupus dingo (dingo)
Lineage: Eukaryota; Metazoa; Chordata; Mammalia; Carnivora; Canidae
Description: lncRNA (ENSCAFG00020019282.1)
Source: RNAcentral